UGGGCUACACACAACGCUACAAUGGGUGAUACAGAAGGUUGCAAUAGAGCGAUCUGGAGCUAAUCCUAAAAAUCAUCCUCAGUUCGGAUUGUAGGCUGAAACUGCCUGCAUGAAGUUGGAGUUGCUAGUAACCGCAGGUCAGCACACUGCCGGUGAACCUACGUUCGUCGGCCUU
RNAcentral lists this ribosomal RNA (175 nucleotides) under uncultured Chloroflexota bacterium. RNAcentral describes it as "uncultured Chloroflexi bacterium partial 16S ribosomal RNA". It matches the Rfam family "Bacterial small subunit ribosomal RNA", at positions 1210 to 1382 of the family's 1533-position model. Lineage: Bacteria; Bacillati; Chloroflexota. The record is from RNAcentral.